GGCGUGGCCUCCUUUAUCCUCCUCGGGAUAGCUAGAGGAGGACAGAGCACAGAUGACAGGAGGCUGUGUACCCACGGAAAGUCACAAGACGCUCUGCAGAGCAGCCAAAUACUAAUUGAAAUAAUUAACUGUAGAAGACACGUGGGCACAGCGAUAUUAGUGGCGCAUAAUCCUUUCUAGUUAAGCGCUCCUUCCUGGAUUACAGCCGAAGAGCUCGGGAGUUCUAAUUACCUGUGCAGAUCCCAGGAGGCGGAAGCAAAACGUGAUCAGAAAAAAGAAUGGCAAAAUGCGGCCUGGAGGUUUGCUUUGGGAAGUAAGCAUCGGAUCAGCCUGUUGUUGAUUUACACCUGCUGUGCUAUACCUCGAGUGGAGGCGGAGGCAGAGUUAAGCACACUUUGUAGGUAGUUACUCCUGCUGAUAUAUAUGAUGACAGCUACAGCAGCCGCACAACAGCCUGGAACACCAGCCUAGUCCUGGAAUAGCAUCGUCUCAAUUGGAGUAGCAGAUAAGUAGAUUCUAAUGAUGGUGGUGGGAUUUCGUCCAAUGGCAGGUCAGCUCGGUGUCCCUCUGAAACCAGGGUCUUUCAGUACACUGGUAGUUAAUAAGGACCACAGAGUCUCACCCAAACCAUGGUCCAUCUGAGAGGGCAUAUUAAAGUUCAAACAGGAGGAAGAAAACUGCCCCAAAUUGCCUUGAGUCAUUUUAGAGGGUACAUCAUCUAAAUUCUUUUUAACCGCUAGCUAGCCCCUUUAUUACAGGCCCCCACUGCUCUAUGUAACACAGCAUUUCCUGGAAUAAAUACUUUUAUUUGUUCCAAAUAAAUUAUUUGGAAUCUGAGCAAACUCAGAUUUCUUUUCUAUAUCAAUUUCAGAGAGCAAUUGGAAUUCAGUGUUUGGGGUUGGGGGUCCUGGCUCAAUGUUAUGAUCCAGAGCUCAGCUUCUCAAAAUGUGGGCUGCAACUUGUCAUGUCAUCAUGAAACUGAAUAUGGGGUGGACGUGGGUUUGGCAAUGGUGAAGUUUCUGAACAGACAAUGGACAAACAUAAAUUUAAAACCAAAUUCACGAUGAAGCCAAGAUGUUUCCAGCAUUGCUGGCCCAUGCUACACCUGUGAUUUUAUUGUAGCCUUAGUUCUGAGCACAUGAUGAGGGCGGGCACUUUGUUCAGUGAGAUACCAACAAUGACUCCUGAACACCAUGUGCAUCAGGAUUUGAGACCACCAUGUGCUGUGAAGUGCUUUUUCUGUGCACACAAGAAGUCUUUGCUCUUACAGCGAUCACAAAUAACAAUGACAUCUAUUUUCUACCGCCAUUACGUGGUAUGUAAACCACACAUUAGUAUAUCUCUGGACAGUACUAUGCUAGGGGGCUUGAUUUUUAAAAAAUUGUUGUCUGAUUUGCUGCCUUGAGUUUUGUUUUAAAACAAUUAAUUGAAUUUGGCUUAGGUUUAGGAUAGAAUUCCCAAUAACUUUGAAAAUGACCCUAGACAUAAUUCUAUCAUUUGGGGGCUGCAUAUUUAUGUGAAGUGGAAUUCUCAGCACUGAAAGCUAUAAAACAAAACAAACAAACAAAAAGAUCAACUCUGAGACAUGCUGAAGGUGUUCUGUAUCUUACUGGACCAAAUAUUCAGCCAGGUUUCAGUUCUUCAUAUGCAGAUAAUAUAUCCCUCUCACUGCUCUGUGUACUUGGUUUCAAUUUUAAAUAGAUGGUAAGAUAAUUUUUUGCAUACCAGAGAAUUCCUUUAAAACAAAUUUCUUGAUAAUUCAUUCUCAAUUCAUGUUAGAUUUUUGCAACUAUUUUAUAUGCAUAAAUAUUUGUGACUACAUAAAAAAUUCGUGGGUAAAAAGGGGUCAGGUAUAACAAAAAUUGAGGAACCCAAGCACAUAGCCUUAGGUUCUACUCCAAAGCAGUGCAAAACAAAAAAAAAUAUUAAUAAAAUGUUAUCUUUGAUACGUCAGGAUUAAUUUUAUGGAAAAUGCCUGCCAGUGCUUCUGUGUGUCCACUGUGAUAAGCACUCAUUGGUCCACAUCUAAGGGAGACUGGAGAGCUACUGCCUCUACUUACCCAUCUCGGUAUGGUAGUUGGCAUGAGUCUGACCAACAUCAAAUAGCAGCUAUAGGCUUGGGACCUGGCAGUCAGGGACCACAGCACAGCACUCUGAGGGAGUAGACACUCUGGGUGUGAAACAAGUUUUAUGAAUAAUGGUGGGAAGGAAAGAAUGGCUGUGGAGUUACACACAAGCUAGUGUUUAGAGUUAGCUUCUGGGAGCCUCAGUUUCUUCAUCUGAGAGAUAAGACCUUCAGUAAGCUCCAACAGAAUCCCUGAGACCCUUCACUGAGGCUAUGCAAAACCCUGCUUCAUCAGCAUAUAAUAGUGAGUAAGUCAUUAAUAAAACUUUGACCAAGUAAAUGAGGCAUUUAAUUGCCGAUUGAGUCACGACCAGAUUCAUGACAUUACAGUAAUACUAUUUCCAGUCACAGGCUGGCUUGGGGGACAAGUAGGAAUUGAUGAAUUUAUCUUGUUGCAGGUCUCAAAGAAUGAACCCCAACAAAAAAACUAUUACCCUUUCCCUUGGAAGGACCAGCAGAGCAAGAAAGAAUGUCACCAAGAGGAAAUAGUAACAACAGCGUGUCUGUCAUGGCAUCUGGGGCUACACAGGGAGUCCACUUAGGAAUUACCACAGUAGAGAAGUAAGCACUGUUAGCUGCCACUGCUACCUGAGAGUAUCAAAUUAUACAGGCUACGCCAGUGCCUGGCAAAUACAGAAGUGGAUGCUCACAGUCAUCUAUUGGAUGGAACACAGGGCCCCCA
Molecule: long non-coding RNA, 2807 nt
Organism: Mus musculus (house mouse)
Lineage: Eukaryota; Metazoa; Chordata; Mammalia; Rodentia; Muridae
Product: predicted gene, 41525
Exons: 3
Source: RefSeq, a predicted model, not a curated record